Molecule: ribosomal RNA, 253 nt
Filed under: uncultured bacterium
Lineage: Bacteria
Description: partial 16S ribosomal RNA
Rfam family: Bacterial small subunit ribosomal RNA
Source: RNAcentral
UACGUAGGGUGCAAGCGUUGUCCGGAAUUAUUGGGCGUAAAGAGCUCGUAGGCGGCUUGUCGCGUCGACCGUGAAAACUUGGGGCUCAACCCCAAGCCUGCGGUCGAUACGGGCAGGCUCGAGUUCGGUAGGGGAGACUGGAAUUCCUGGUGUAGCGGUGAAAUGCGCAGAUAUCAGGAGGAACACCGAUGGCGAAGGCGGCCUGCUGGGCAGUUGCUGACACUGAGGCGCGACAGCGUGGGGAGCAAACAGG